This 23-nucleotide microRNA is filed under the name Mus musculus (house mouse). RNAcentral describes it as "mmu-miR-6922-5p". Lineage: Eukaryota; Metazoa; Chordata; Mammalia; Rodentia; Muridae. The record is from miRBase by way of RNAcentral.
UGUGGGAGGGGACUGUAGAGAGG